AUUGAACGCUGGCGGCAUGCUUUACACAUGCAAGUCGAACGGUAACAGGCCGCAAGGUGCUGACGAGUGGCGAACGGGUGAGUAAUGCAUCGGAACGUGCCCAGUCGUGGGGGAUAACUACUCGAAAGAGUAGCUAGUACCGCAUACGAUCUAUGGAUGAAAGCGGGGGACCGUAAGGCCUCGCGCGAUUGGAGCGGCCGAUGUCAGAUUAGGUAGUUGGUGGGGUAAAGGCUCACCAAGCCAACGAUCUGUAGCUGGUCUGAGAGGACGACCAGCCACACUGGGACUGAGACACGGCCCAGACUCCUACGGGAGGCAGCAGUGGGGAAUUUUGGACAAUGGGCGCAAGCCUGAUCCAGCAAUGCCGCGUGCAGGAAGAAGGCCUUCGGGUUGUAAACUGCUUUUGUACGGAACGAAACGGCUCUGGUUAAUACCCGGGGCUAAUGACGGUACCGUAAGAAUAAGCACCGGCUAACUACGUG
This 482-nucleotide ribosomal RNA is filed under the name uncultured bacterium. RNAcentral describes it as "partial 16S ribosomal RNA". It matches the Rfam family "Bacterial small subunit ribosomal RNA", at positions 30 to 507 of the family's 1533-position model. The record is from RNAcentral.